GACGAACGCUGGCGGCGUGCUUAACACAUGCAAGUCGAACGGAAAGGCCCUGCUUUUGUGGGGUGCUCGAGUGGCGAACGGGUGAGUAACACGUGAGUAACCUGCCCUUGACUGUGGGAUAACUUCAGGAAACUGGGGCUAAUACCGGAUAGGAGCUCCUGCAGCAUGGUGGGGGUUGGAAAGUUUCGGCGGUUGGGGAUGGACUCGCGGCUUAUCAGCUUGUUGGUGGGGUAGUGGCUUACCAAGGCUUUGACGGGUAGCCGGCCUGAGAGGGUGACCGGCCACAUUGGGACUGAGAUACGGCCCAGACUCCUACGGGAGGCAGCAGUGGGGAAUAUUGCACAAUGGGCGGAAGCCUGAUGCAGCAACGCCGCGUGCGGGAUGACGGCCUUCGGGUUGUAAACCGCUUUCGCCUGUGACGAAGCGUGAGUGACGGUAAUGGGUAAAGAAGCACCGGCUAACUACGUG
This 468-nucleotide ribosomal RNA is filed under the name uncultured bacterium. RNAcentral describes it as "partial 16S ribosomal RNA". It matches the Rfam family "Bacterial small subunit ribosomal RNA", at positions 28 to 507 of the family's 1533-position model. The record is from RNAcentral.